CCGAAUCGGUCGCAGGUGGCCGCCGACAGCGAGGGCAGGCUGGACUUAGACGCUAGCCGGAGGCGGGCCUGGGCCGUCUCUGAGUCCGGCUGCUGCACACACCGAGCUGUUCCAGGGCGACUCUGCGUGCCACCUCGCUCCCUCGCCUCCUCUUGUUUGAGUUCUUAGCACACUGAGCUCUUUUUGGCGUGGCCGGAACACUGGCAGUGUGCAAGCUCAUCACUCUACUGAAGCUCCCAGGAUCCUGGCAGAAUGUGACCUCCACCUGAAGUCCUGUCCCAGGACGGUUGGCACCUUGGCACGCAGCUUCUGGGAAGUGUACAGGUCCAUCCCUUUCCACCAUCCUGGGAGAGAGAAGAGCUGCCCUGGUGCAUCCAUCCACCACACAGCCAAUAGCUACUGAAUGUCUGAUACUUCACUCAGGAUUCCUUCUGUGUCCCCCUCCACCCUCAUUGCUGUCUCACAUCCUUUCUGCACAUCCCCAGCCCUCUAUGCUUUGGAACACUGAUGAAGAUACCCACAGGCUGCCUCCCCAUCUUUGCAAUGUGAUUGGCACAGAGAAUA
Molecule: long non-coding RNA, 564 nt
Organism: Hyaena hyaena (striped hyena)
Lineage: Eukaryota; Metazoa; Chordata; Mammalia; Carnivora; Hyaenidae
Exons: 4
Source: RefSeq, a predicted model, not a curated record